Molecule: ribosomal RNA, 1419 nt
Filed under: uncultured bacterium
Lineage: Bacteria
Description: 16S ribosomal RNA
Rfam family: Bacterial small subunit ribosomal RNA
Source: RNAcentral
AGAGUUUGAUCCUGGCUCAGAUUGAACGCUGGCGGCAGGCCUAACACAUGCAAGUCGAGCGGUAGCACAGAGAGCUUGCUCUCGGGUGACGAGCGGCGGACGGGUGAGUAAUGUCUGGGAAACUGCCUGAUGGAGGGGGAUAACUACUGGAAACGGUAGCUAAUACCGCAUAAUGUCGCAAGACCAAAGUGGGGGACCUUCGGGCCUCAUGCCAUCAGAUGUGCCCAGAUGGGAUUAGCUAGUAGGUGGGGUAACGGCUCACCUAGGCGACGAUCCCUAGCUGGUCUGAGAGGAUGACCAGCCACACUGGAACUGAGACACGGUCCAGACUCCUACGGGAGGCAGCAGUGGGGAAUAUUGCACAAUGGGCGCAAGCCUGAUGCAGCCAUGCCGCGUGUGUGAAGAAGGCCUUCGGGUUGUAAAGCACUUUCAGCGGGGAGGAAGGCGGUGAGGUUAAUAACCUUGGCGAUUGACGUUACCCGCAGAAGAAGCACCGGCUAACUCCGUGCCAGCAGCCGCGGUAAUACGGAGGGUGCAAGCGUUAAUCGGAAUUACUGGGCGUAAAGCGCACGCAGGCGGUCUGUCAAGUCGGAUGUGAAAUCCCCGGGCUCAACCUGGGAACUGCAUUCGAAACUGGCAGGCUAGAGUCUUGUAGAGGGGGGUAGAAUUCCAGGUGUAGCGGUGAAAUGCGUAGAGAUCUGGAGGAAUACCGGUGGCGAAGGCGGCCCCCUGGACAAAGACUGACGCUCAGGUGCGAAAGCGUGGGGAGCAAACAGGAUUAGAUACCCUGGUAGUCCACGCCGUAAACGAUGUCGAUUUGGAGGUUGUGCCCUUGAGGCGUGGCUUCCGGAGCUAACGCGUUAAAUCGACCGCCUGGGGAGUACGGCCGCAAGGUUAAAACUCAAAUGAAUUGACGGGGGCCCGCACAAGCGGUGGAGCAUGUGGUUUAAUUCGAUGCAACGCGAAGAACCUUACCUGGUCUUGACAUCCACAGAACUUUCCAGAGAUGGAUUGGUGCCUUCGGGAACUGUGAGACAGGUGCUGCAUGGCUGUCGUCAGCUCGUGUUGUGAAAUGUUGGGUUAAGUCCCGCAACGAGCGCAACCCUUAUCCUUUGUUGCCAGCGGUUCGGCCGGGAACUCAAAGGAGACUGCCAGUGAUAAACUGGAGGAAGGUGGGGAUGACGUCAAGUCAUCAUGGCCCUUACGACCAGGGCUACACACGUGCUACAAUGGCAUAUACAAAGAGAAGCGACCUCGCGAGAGCAAGCGGACCUCAUAAAGUAUGUCGUAGUCCGGAUUGGAGUCUGCAACUCGACUCCAUGAAGUCGGAAUCGCUAGUAAUCGUAGAUCAGAAUGCUACGGUGAAUACGUUCCCGGGCCUUGUACACACCGCCCGUCACACCAUGGGAGUGGGUUGCA